Molecule: unclassified non-coding RNA, 211 nt
Filed under: plant metagenome
Description: partial contains small subunit ribosomal RNA, internal transcribed spacer 1, and 5.8S ribosomal RNA
Source: RNAcentral
UUUCCGUAGGUGAACCUGCGGAAGGAUCAUUCAUAAUAAAGUGUUUUAUGGCACUUUUUAAAAAUCCAUAUCCACCUUGUGUGCAAUGUUAGAUCUCGUCAAUCUUGGCGAGAUUUUUAUACAUCAACUCAUUCUUUAACUAAUUUGUCUGAAAAAUAUUAUGAAUACUUAAUUCAAAAUACAACUUUCAACAAUGGAUCUCUUGGCUCUC